This 896-nucleotide ribosomal RNA is filed under the name uncultured archaeon. RNAcentral describes it as "bacterial SSU rRNA". It matches the Rfam family "Archaeal small subunit ribosomal RNA", at positions 17 to 921 of the family's 1478-position model. The record is from RNAcentral.
CCGGACCUGACUGCUAUCGGAUUGGUACUAAGCCAUGCGAGUCGUUGUAGCAAUACAAGGCGGACGGCUCAGUAACACGUAGUCAACCUAACCUAUGGACGUGGAUAACCUCGGGAAACUGAGAAUAAACCGCGAUAGAUCAUAAUGCCUGGAAUGGCUUAUGGUUAAAAUAAUUUAUUGCCGUAGGAUGGGACUGCGGCCUAUCAGCUUGUUGGUGAGGUAACGGCCCACCAAGGCUAUAACAGGUACGGGCUCUGAGAGGAGAAGCUCGGAGAUGGGUACUGAGACACGGACCCAGGCCCUAUGGGGCGCAGCAGGCGAGAAACCUUAGCAAUGUGCGAAAGCACGACUAGGUUAAUCCGAGUGAUUUCUGUUGAAGAAAUCUUUUGUCAGUCGUAAAACCACAGACGAAUAAGGGGUGGGCAAGUCUGGUGUCAGCCGCCGCGGUAAUACCAGCACCUCGAGUGGUCAGGAGGUUUAUUGGGCCUAAAGCAUCCGUAGCCGGCUAUGCAAGUCUCCGGUUAAAUCCAACUGCUCAACAGAUGGGCUGCCGGAGAUACUACACAGCUAGGGAGCGGGAGAGGUAGACGGUAUUCUGUGGGUAGGGGUAAAAUCCACUGAUCCAUAGAGGACCACCAGUGGCGAAGGCGGUCUACCAGAACGCGUUCGACGGUGAGGGAUGAAAGCUGGGGGAGCAAACCGGAUUAGAUACCCGGGUAGUCCCAGCUGUAAACGAUGCAAACUCGGUGAUGCAUUGACUUAUGGUCAAUGCAGUGCCGCAGGGAAGCCGUUAAGUUUGCCGCCUGGGAAGUACGGACGCAAGUCUGAAACUUAAAGGAAUUGGCGGGGGAGCACCACAAGGGUGAAGCCUGCGGUUCAAUUGGAUUCAACGCCGG